UAAUGUCCAACUGAAAUUUCACAAGAUUGUAAACUAUCAUAAACUCAAUAAAAAUUAACUUAAAAAAAAAGCAGCUGGGAAAAAGGAGGCAAUAGAAGACAGCAAGAAGGGGUGAGCCAUAGUUUAUGAUGAAAAAGAGAGGAGUAUCCUGGAAGCUGGACUGACUGUGUAUUCAGGAUUAUGGUAGACACCUGAAUACAUAAUGAACAGGACGUGGUCUCUGCCUCUGCUCCUGUUUUAAUUUGCUCCAUGGUUCAACUCUUCAGUUAAUGGCACUACCUAGUCCAUCAUGCCUGAAAACUUGGAGUCAUCUUUUAUUUGUCCUUCAUACUCUCACAUCUAUUGGGUUAGCCACGUUUUACUGACAAAACAUCGUUUUAAAUUAUAGCAUACUAGUGGGAAAAGUGCACAAGUCUUGAGUAUCUACCUCAAUGAUUUUUUUUAACAAUCUAAACACACUAUCAUAACAACCCCCCAGAUCAAGACAUUCACUAUUCUGGCUCUCCAGAAGCCUCUAUCGUGACCCUUUGCAGAAUUUGCUCCCACCCAAGGUAACCACUACUCUGACUUCUAUCGCUGUAGCUUAGUUUUGCCAGUUUUUGAGUUCAGGUAGAUGGAAUUAUACUCUAUGUACUCCUUUCUACCAGGCUCCUUUUAUUAAACAUCCUGUCUGAGAUUCAUUCAUGUUGUUACAGGUAAUUGGUUGGUUUUUAUAUAGCUCUAUAGAUCUGAUUAUUAUUGCAUAAUGCAUUAGUUUUGGUUAUUGAUAACUGCAUAACAUGCCAAUCCAAACUUAGUGGAGUGAAACAACAACCAUUGUAUUAGUCGGAUUCUGUGGGUUAGGAAUUUGGUAGGGAGAAAUUGCCGUGCUCGCUGAUGGUUGGGGUCUAGAAUGAUUUAGAGGCUCUUUCACUCACAUGGAUGGUACCUUGGCUGGGAUGUCUUGAAGUCCAAAAUCCUCUGGGGUCGUUCACAAGGGCACCUACAUUUCCUGUUUUGAAAAGUGGCUGUUUUAUUUUUCCAAUGGUACAUCUAAAAUACAAUUUCAAUGGAGAUGGAAACUUCUACUUGAAAGUUGCUCUACUUCUUUGCCACUUUUGGGACCCAGGUGACCUGUUCAGAUAGUGUUCACCUAUUGCUGAUACAAAGGCUGUACUGGGGUUGGUGAUCAUGUAUGACCAGAGGAAAGUUAAUGUCACUAUAAGAUGCAGAGAUUCCUUUGAGGAUGGAGGACGUUUAUGAAAUGCUUGGUGAGCACAGUCUGUCUGGUAUUGGAUAAAAUCACAAGAAUUUGGGGAUGAACUCCUGCCUCCUCAUCCUGGCCCCUGGUCUUGAGAUACCAAGUAUAAGUGGACAUGGUGUGCGUCAGGGCUUGUGUUGGUGGUCUAUUUUCUUCAGUGCAUAUGGUUCAUCUUCUGUUUGGGAACGAAGUCUUAUCACCUGAUCACCAGCAUAGCAGUUGCUAUGAAGGUGGCUGUGCCCUGGUUGCAGAUUCUCCAUGAGGAGAUUCUCCAUGAGGCCUUAGCUCUUCACAGCUUGUUGGCUGGCUUCCCUGAGCAAGCUUCCUGAGAGUGGCAUGUCCUUGGAAGUCACAGCCCACCACUUCCACAGAGCAACGCUUCUAUUCUGUUGAUUGAAGUAGGUACACGCCUGCCUAGAUUCAAGAGGAGGGAACCUAAACCUCACAUAUUUAUGGGUUGUGACUCCAAGAAUUUGUGGCCAUUUUUUAAAACCACCAUGAACUAGAUACCAGAAGUGAUUUAUCCAUUCUAUCGUAGAUGGAUAUUUGAGUACUUUCUACUUUGGAGGAAUGAAGAGAAUGAUGCUCUAAUCAUUCUUGCUCCUUCCUCUUGGUUCAAAUGUUUAUAUUUUAGUUGAGUGCACAUCUAAGAGUAGAAUUGCUGGUCAUGUUGUAUGUGUGUCUCCAGCUUUAACAGAUAGAUCCUGCCAAAAAGCUUUCCCAAGUGGCUGCACGAAUUCCUACUCCUAACAGCAAAGUGUGAGCCUUCCAGUUGCCCUGCAGCCUGCCCUCCACUUGCUGCCAUCGGCUCAGCAUUUCAAAUCUGUCUUUAACCAUUCUCUGGUUGUAUAGAAGAUCUCAGUGUGGUUGAAUUGUCAUUUCCCUGGUACCUACUGAUUUUAGCACAUUUGCAUGUGCUUGUUGGCCGUUGGGACACUCUGUGUUGUGAAGUGCCUGUUCAACUCUUUUGCCCAGUUUUAAGCAAUUGGUUUCUUUGUCUUCUUUCUUACUGUAAUGCUGAAGAUUUUCUGUAUUCUGCAUGAGAAUCCUUUGUUGAAUAUUCGAAUUGGAACAAUCUCUUCGCAUCCUGUGACUUGCCAAUUCCCUCUUGUAAUAUGGCUCAUGAUGAACUGAAAGUCUAAAUUUUAAUGAAUCCAAGUUUACCGAUCUUUUCUUUUAUGAAGAGUGUGUGUAUGUGUGCAUUUGUGUGUCUUCUUUAAGAAGUUUUUGCUACCCUGUCAUCCUGAAGAUGUUUUCUUAUGUUGUCUUCUAGAAGCUUUAUUAUUUUACCUUUCACCUAUAGGUCAAAGUGUCCAGGAAUUCAGUUUUGUGUGUUGUGAGGGUAGGGGUCAAGGUUUCUUUUAUAUGCAUAUGCUUAUCUCUAGGAGUAAUAACAGGCAGCAUUGGGACAGGUGGACACAAGCCUGGGAGUUAGGGGUCCUGUAUUCUCAGCUUUAACCUCCCUUUAAAGCACCCUAUGAACUUGAGCAGGUGAUUUUCCCAGUUCUCCCUCCUCUCGGGCUCCCUCCUUCCUUCCUUUUUUCCUUCUAUCCUUCCUUCCACACUCCCUCCCUCCAUUCCUUCCUUCCUUCCAUCUAUCCAUCCAUCUGUCCAGAUAUCAAUCUGUCCAACUGUCCUCCUGCCCGUUCGCCUGUUUUUCCUUCUUCUCUCCUUCCAUCCUCUUUCCUCCCAUCUCUCCAACUUCUCUUCCUUGUGUGUAUUCUUCCUGUUUUCCCUUUGACCCUCCAUUUGUCCAUUCUUCCUUUGUCCAUCCAGGUAUCCCCUCUGUCUGUGCCUCUACCUCUCUCUUUGUUCCGUCUCUCUCUUCAACCACACUCACUCUCUUGGGUUCAUCUCCUUCACAAGCUUGCUCAUCCCUCUACUCACACAAUCCCUCCUUCUGUCACUCACAUUUAUGGCUCACCUGUGAAUGGUUGUCCUUGGACAGCCACUACUGAGUGCAGAUGAGCCUGUGGGGCUUCACCCACUGUGUGGGGGGCUCUGUCCCACCCUAACAAGAGCCCUUUCCACAGCUCCUGAGCCAGGAAGCAAGUUCUUGCCUACUUCCUCAUCACCUGAGCAACCGGAAGCCACCACAGGCCUAGAAGGCCCCUCUUCCUUAGCCAGAGGAGCUCUCCAGCCCCACACCUCCACUGCCAAAUUAUCACUUGGGAGCUGGAAAGCCAAGCUAUGGGGCACGAGCUGAAGGCCCUCACACUGAAGUUCAGCAUCUCCAACCUCCAAUAUUCAACAGACGUGAGAAAGGGCUCAGCGACAUUUAACUCCACUGAGAGAGUCCUGCAGUGCAGUCCUGCAGUGCUGGAUGAGACCCUGGUGCCCGCAGCUCCUGGGCCUGUGGAGGAUGGGGCAGCCACUAGCGUGGAAGCUGUCUGCACCUACCACCCUGACCCCAUGGCUCGUGAUGGAGAGUAUGACAGAGACACCAGGUGACAGCAGCAUUCCUGGGAGCUUAACCAGCUGACUCACUGUGUCACCCCGAGGGGACUCUACUCCCUGCUCAGGGACAGCCUUUUUGUCAGUGGUACACUUAUCAUUCUUGCCAACACCAGAUGAGGAAACUGAGGCACUGAUGAGGUGAGUAACUUGCCCACUACCAAUAUCUAGGAAGUGAUUGAGCUGGAAUUUGAACAUAAGAUAUUGUCUCCAUAUUCUCUGCUCUUAAUCAUGUUCUUUGCUCUCUAAGACUUCACACCAUGAAGACGUUGGCUCAGCAUAUCCAUUUUCUUGUUACACCCAGUAGCCCCAUUCUUUGAUCUCAGUCUGAAAAACUGUUGCACAUACACACCAAAAUGACUUCUCCCCAUAUCCCAUGUCCUGGAAAAUACAUAGAGAACAUUUCAAAGCCUUUCUUGCCCAGGCUGGGAGUGCUUCUGGGAAAUUCCACUGUUCCUCUAAGGAGCCAAGGGAAGGCUGGGAGCUGAGUCUCAGGGGAAAGGUGACCUCAGGCGUUACCUGGAAUUACAAAAUGGAUGGGAGGCCUCAGCAGGGACUGACUUCAGGAUUGGUGGUGUUUGAAGCUGGGCGCUAAUUUUCUGGCUGUGGGUGUAGGGGCUGGUGCCGCAUUCCAGGGAGAAGGGAUGGCUCCCUGUGUUCUUAGGGGAAACCAGACCCAGGAAAGAGAUGAAAUGAUGGUUUCCAUUCACAGUGGACUUGUGAGGGGAAACAUUCAGCCCAGAAGAGACAGUCAUGUUCCUGAGGUCACCGGAAGAAGCUGCCUCUGCGUCUGCUAAGCAGAAAGCCCUCCUUCAUGGACUCACUUUAUCCAAAUGACACCAAGAAGGAGGAAAUCAUGAGAUGACCUUGCAGAUGUGAGAUCUGUGACGUUGGACACUGUGCCUGGGAGCCCCUGAAAGGCCUCACAGUGGUGACAUUUGCUAUGAGCAGAGUGACAGAUGUGAGGCACGCCUGCCUGUGUCUGGGAACAGUUUGAGUGUCAGGGAGAAGCCACUGCUGGUACAGAGACUCACAGGAAGAAAGGAGUCUGAGCAGAGAAGGGCAGAAAGGUGGCGGUGUGGCUGGAAGGAUCCUGAGAAGAGAGAGGAGGGGAGAUGGGGGCACGGCAGGGAUGGGUGGCAAGACUGGCAGACUGCUUUUUCCUGUCACUCUCUGACGACAUUGCUCCCAGACCAUGCCCCUAGAAAGUACAAAUCCUUAAGCUCUCACAAAGUGUGUGUGCCAGGAAUGGGACAUGGCUUAGCUGGGUGCCUCUGCCUCAAGGUCUCCGUGAAGCUUGGGCUGCGUCUCUAUUGCGGCUCGACUCAGGGAGCAUGUGCUCCCAAGUUCACUCACAUGCAUGUUGACAGGGUUUGUUUGGACGGAAAGCCUGAGUUUCUGCCUGUCUGUCGGCCGAUCAUUCCCUCCGUUCUCUCCUAUGGAGCCUCUACAUAGGGAAAUUGAAAGCAUGUGCACUUGCUCCCCCAGUUCCAGAGAUAUAAGAGGCAGAGAGAGAGAGAGAUGGAAACAGGGGGAGGGAAAGAGGGAGGGGGCUAAAGAAAAUGAGUAAGAAGGAAGGGCCAGGCUUUUUGUUCUUAACCCUGGGUUGUGUGCCAUCCCAACACCUUGGCUGCAUUCUGUUCAGAAGCCAGUUCCUGACCACUGUGUGGUUCCACAAGGAUGUGCAGAGCAGAAGACAGUGAGCACUGGGAGCCGUGGCAGAGGCUGCCCUCCACAUAGGCCAACAUGAGGCACUUGGGUCUGACGCUAAGUCAAACAGGAGACCAUGGAAGGUUUCAUGCCAGUGACUGGAAAUAUCUGAAUUUCCUCUAAUUUCAACCCGUUAAAGGUGCAGACGUGGGAAUGAGGCCCAGAGGGGCAGUGACUUUCUCAAGGUCCAAAAGCUACAACCCAGUCCUGUUUUGAGGGAUACUCCACACGAUAUCCCACCCCUUCUUGUCAUUCUUUCAUCUCUAACUGUGUGCAUCAGACACGCAUGAAACCAGACCACAGGUGUUGUCACUACUAUCUCUUCUAUAGCUGAGGAUGUCACAAGGGAGCUAUUUCUGGUCUCGUCCACAUUGUGCAGGUUGAGAGAUUGAGGAGGCCCUGGGAGGCACAAUGGCAUCUCCAGGACACAGAGCUUCUAGGGAACAAGAGGCCUGAACUCAGCUGAACUCAGCUUCCUCAAGCUGGAAGCCUGGUUCCAUCUCAAGGUCCUGUGUGGGGCUCUCUGCUGGCUAAUUGCGUACAGUUCUGGAGAUGACAUGGGCAAGGAGGAACUGCAUGCAGGAGGUGAUCGAAGAGCUGGCGGAUGGCUUCAGGAACUCCAUCUCCCUGGAUAUGGGGUAGCUCCACUGCGCCACCAUCAAUAAUCAGGGCUGCUCUGAGGUGAGAGUGGGCACGGAGGGUCUUCCCACCCAGGACCCUGAAAUGAUCAUGGCCGGCCAAGAAUCCAAACUCAAACUGCUGUUCUCCUGGGACCCUAACAGGGCUGUCCCCCCUGAGUGUCCCACAGUCCCAUUCCCAAAGAAUCUGCACUUCCGCUCCUCCCCACCAGCUGCAUAGGAGGGUAGGAGGGCACUCUUUGCAUUUUCCUAGGAAGAUUAGAGAAAACAUUGAUGUCGUUGUCACUUCCCACUAGGCCCUGAGUAUCUUUGAAUUUUGCCUUUUUUGGAACAUGGAACCUCGAUAAGUAGGGUCUCCAAACUCCAUUUAAUGUAAGAGAAAUAACUAUCAGCGUGUUUUGGAAGUCAAAGGGAUUCUCAGAGCUUGUCACUGCCCUGUACACUGUUUCCAGACUGGGGAGGCAUGAGGUGGCCACAUAACAUUUCCCUCCAGGUCAGGGUCCGAUGAAGCCUCAGGCAGUUAGAGGGGCAGGCCCUCAGCCCUCCCUUUGGGCGGUAUUCAGUUUUGACCCACAGGACCUAGAGAAGCCACUUGGCAUGCCUAAGCCUCUGUUCUCCUCUCUAGAGAGGGGGUGUCUGUUGAGGAUUCACUGGGCUGGUGCUCUUCACAGAGGGAGGUCUGUUGUCCCUCAGAGAGCAAAUGGCCUCGAUGGAGCUCAAUGUGUAAUCCUUUGCCUGCCCAAAGUCAGGUUGUACUUUGAGAGCCCAGAAUCUUGCUGAGUGUGGGAGCUCCUGUGUCUCCUGUUGCACAUGUCUGGGAGGGGCUAGGAGUUCCUGGGUCAGCUGCAGACCUUGAUAAUGCUGGUGGUUCACAGUGGUGGCCCUGACCCUGCGUCCCUCCUCAUCCUACCCAGCGUGAAGAUGCGUCCACUGUGUCUGUAACGGAGGCCUGCAGGAUGCGUGCCCUCCAGGCAGUCAUGAUGCAGAGGCUCUCAGAGUCUGUGGUGCCAGCCUUCCCUGGUAGAGUCCUCUGCAGUGUCACCACCUCCCUCUACAGCUACUCAGGCUCCAGCACAUCCCACUAGGUCUUGGACCAGCUGUUUCCCAGGUGACUGCCCGCCUCGUCCUCAGCACAGUGGUGACUCUGCCCACUGCCAGCUUUGUGUCUUGUCUUGGGAAUGUCACCACAUCUCUCUGAGCCUGAGUUGGCUCCUCUGAAACGUGGGGUGGGAGAGGAUGAACUUGCUAGGCUUCUCCCAGGGAUGAAUGGGCUCAGCCAUCCAGGUGCUGCCCUGGUGCCUGGCUCUGCAGAGAGGGUGGUGGGCCAUGCUGUGGUUGCUGGUGGUGAUUAUUUGUCUGUCCCCCAUGGAAAGUAGUCUUCCUCUCCCUUCACUGGCUUGUGGCUUUUUGAGUUUGGAAAAGCACCUGGAGAGCACCCUGUCAAGGAGGUUGAGAUGCCAUCCAGCUGGUCCUGGUGCUUGUCCUUGAUAUAGCCAUUUAGGGAUCUCUGUGGACCCAGAGGGGCCCCAGGCCUAUUCAGACACCUGGGAUGGUUCUGGUUGGAGUUCAUUCAACAAUGUCUAUGAAGGACCUACUGUGUGCAGGACAUCUGGACACACUAAGUGUCACUCAAUGAAUGAAGCAGACAGCCUCCCUGGGCCUCCCCUCUAGUCUGAGAGUCAGACGGUCACACUUGACAUCAUCCCUAGGUCCCAUCUACCCUACAUCCCGGGCGAUGCCCUCAUCCCCUUUGGGACACAUGGAGGCAGCUUGGCCCAUUGUGUGCGGGAUGCUGGAGGACAGGACCACCUCCCAAAGUGAGUGGUCUUUGGGUCCAGAUGGAGGGCCUCCUGUCUCUAGCAAACAGGGUGGGGGUUGAGGAUGGAGGCUGUGGCUGGGGCAGGCCUGGGAGAACCCUGCAUCAAACCGAUCUUGUGAUUCCCAUGGGAGGGCUGAGUUCUGGUGGCUUCCACUCCAGCAGGACUGGACUCAAAGAGAGCUGUGCAUGGGUUCCAGGCCCCUUGAGAACCAGAAGGGAGGCUGGGCUGAGUUGUCUCCUAGAGACCCAAUCCCAGCAGAGUCCCAGCUCCUUCUGCCUCCCUUUCUCCACAUUCACCCCUUCUGAGCCCCACCACCAGGUCCAUAGGAGGAGGUGGGUGAGCAAGCUGCUCCCAAAUCUGCUGGAGUCUUCAUUCCAGUGGCCCACGUGAAUGCAGGGCUGGGGUGGGCUGUGUCCAGACCCUUGGGGAGGAGAGUGUCGGUGGGAACAAGAGACUCUCACAGACUCUGUGUUCAGCCUGCUGGAUGAGUAGGCCUGCCACUGCCAGGAAAGCUAGCCGGGGCUCAGGGCUGGGGUGGGGCCCUCCUCUGGAGGGGGAGGGACUGGCAUAGGGGCCAGAAGAUGCUAACAAGAGUGCCUUGGGCGGGCAGUAUUUAAGGAAAGGCCGGGCCACUGACUCUCUCGCCCAUCUGCCUCC
Molecule: non-coding RNA, 8519 nt
Organism: Equus caballus (horse)
Lineage: Eukaryota; Metazoa; Chordata; Mammalia; Perissodactyla; Equidae
Source: RefSeq, a predicted model, not a curated record